Molecule: small RNA, 23 nt
Filed under: Arabidopsis thaliana (thale cress)
Lineage: Eukaryota; Viridiplantae; Streptophyta; Magnoliopsida; Brassicales; Brassicaceae
Description: ATSL009830
Source: RNAcentral
AGAGAAAAAGAAGAAGAAAAAAA